CAGGAUGUCCUGAGAAAUGGACCAGAUUUUGUUCCUCUUGUUACUUCUUAUCUGAAGAGUCUAAGUCCUGGGAUGAAGCAAGAAAGUCCUGCAAAGCCAGAGGAGCUGAUCUGGUGGUGAUAAACAGCAAAGAUGAAAAUGAAUUUAUUUCUAAAUUGAACACGGAAAGAUGUUGGAUUGGACUGACUGACAGAGACUUGGAGGGGACCUGGAAAUGGGUUGAUGGAAGUUCUCUAAAUCUGACGUUCUGGGGAUCUGGUCAGCCUGAUAAUUAUGAUGGAGACGAAGACUGUGUGGAAACUCAUUUUAAAUCUCCGGGAUUGUGGAAUGACAUUCCAUGUAAGCUUUCAAGAAGGUUAAUCUGUGAAAAAGAAUGAAUGUUCUUUGUUUGAAAAAUCUUAAUACAUUUAUAGUUAAGAUCUAACCAAGAUGUUUUUAACCCAUCAAAAUACAUACAGGCUACAAACUUAAACAAGAAAUGUUUUUUUUAAUGAGGCUACAAAAAAAAAAUCAGCAUUUACCUUUUCCAAGGCAAUGAAAAAACACAAGCACCUCAGAAAUGUGUACAUCUAACUAACCAAGAAUAAAUCAGAGCAAAAUAAGUGACCCUCAAUGUUUUUUUAAUCUAAAUACAUGCAGUUCUAGUUUUUCUUCAACCAUAGAGCCACAGUGGAGGAGUAAAGGAACCACAUGUGGCUCGGGAGCCUCAGGUUGCAUAUUCAUGUUUUAACAAUAAAUUGCUUCUAGUUUUAUUGUUU
Oryzias latipes (Japanese medaka) is the source of this 758-nucleotide non-coding RNA. Lineage: Eukaryota; Metazoa; Chordata; Actinopteri; Beloniformes; Adrianichthyidae. The record is from RefSeq and is a predicted model, not a curated record.